Molecule: long non-coding RNA, 2647 nt
Filed under: Chlamydomonas reinhardtii
Lineage: Eukaryota; Viridiplantae; Chlorophyta; Chlorophyceae; Chlamydomonadales; Chlamydomonadaceae
Description: long non-coding RNA (CREI_LNC001004)
Source: RNAcentral
UGCAGCCCACCGGCAGGUGCGCGGGGGCUGGGCCGCCUAUCGUGCUCGAGCCGCACCGCGCUCGCCGCUUCUUGUGAGGUCGCACUGCGGCCAUGACAGGCCACGAAAGCACUGCGUGGCGGUGGGAGCCCAGGCGUUGCGAUGUGCUUCAGGGCGUGUCUGCCGGCAGCGUGUAAUUGCUCAAUCGCCCACGCGGCCUGCCGUGAUACGUGCUGCCUUGCGGCUGCAGGGGUGGCACCUUCAACGUGUAUCUGGCGGGCGACUCGGGGCCGGUGGUCAUGUGCAUCCACGGCGGCGGCUACAGCGGCCUGACGUGGUCGCUGGUGGCCAAGAAGCUCAAAGACAAGUGAGGAGGAGGCGGAGGAGGGGGAGGAGAAGGCGGUGCGUGGGGGAGGGCCGCCAGCGGCGGGAAUGCUCUUGCUGGCCUUGCGGCUGUAUAGAAGGGCUAUACGCAGAGAUGGGGCCCGAGAAGGGGGGGGCGAACAGGGUGCAGAAAGGGAGCGCGAGGCUGAUCGGUUAUGCACCCAAGCAGUGUUCCAUGAGGGUCGCUGGGGUCGACUAGGGCCUCGAUGACCAUGUUGCAAAACGAGAAACGAUAAGUCUGCAUGCACACUGCUCACAUGGAAAGCACCUGCCCCAUGAACAUAAGAAGGCUGGCGGCGGUGCAACCUCUUGCCGCACAGGUACCGGGUAGUGGCACCCGACAUGCGGGGGCACGGCCUCACAAAGACAGACAAUGACACGGACUUUUCAAAAGAGGUAUGUGCCGCGCCAGACCUUGCGCAGCAGGCCAUGCCUGCUGCAUUGCACGCGGCUCGUCAACCGUGAGCUCCUCACGUCCGUGCUCUGCCCCUGGACUGGCUGCAGACAAUGUCGGACGACAUCAUUGCGAUAUGGGAGCACAUGUUCGGCGCGGCGGCCUCCGCCGCCUCCAGUGGUGCGGCCAACAGCAAGGAGGGGCCGGCCCCCAGCGGCGACAGCACUCCCUCCACGCCAGCGCCCACAGCCCCCGCGACAGCACCACCGGCAGCAGCUCAUGGGCCGGGCACGCCGGCGGCUGACGCGCCCCCGGCAGGUGUACUGGUGGGCCACAGCAUGGGCGGCGGGCUGGCGGUGUGGGCGGGCGCGGCCAAGCGCAUAAAGCGGCUGGAGGGCGUGGUGGUGGUGGACGUGGUAGAGGGCACGGCGCUGGGUGAGUGACGGCGGCGGUGCUGGACAGAUAAUCGCGGCGCGCUGACUGCUCCAACCAUCAUGAAACGCUACUUGCCCGCAUGCGAUGCGUGCCGUGCAACUGUGAACCACUUCCCACGGCCGCUUGCCUCAUGGCCCCGCUCCUCUCCGCCUCUGCCCCGCGCAGCCGCGCUGCCGCACAUGAUGAACGUGCUGGCCGGCCGGCCCGCCUCCUUUCCCUCGCUGGAGGAGGCGGUCACGUGGGCGGUGCGCAGCGGCAUGAGCCGCAACAAGGAGGCGGCAGCUGUGUCCAUGCCGGGGCAGCUGCAGCAGCAGGGUGGCGCAGGGGCUGGGGCCGGGGGCGCGGGAGGAGGGCCGGGCGGCGGCGGCGGCGGCAGCGGCGGCGACGGCGGGGGGCAGUGGACGUGGCGCACGCCCCUGGAGCUCAGCCGGCCGUACUGGGAGGGCUGGUACAUGGGUCUGUCAGAGGCGUUCCUGCAGGUACGUGGCACAGCCUACAUGCCUGCAAGCUUGCAAAGAAUGUGGAAGGGAAGGCUGGGUUGCGCGCCAGUGAGCAUGGCUCAUCGGCCUGCAGUCGUCAACUCUGCUGUAUGUGCCGCAUAAGUCGCUACUACUAGGAUUACGGACUCGUGGCUAGGCCUCUGAAGUGCGUUCGCCCCUGCGCCGUGCAGCUGUCGUGUCCCAAGGCGUUGGUGCUGGCCGGCACCGACCGACUGGACCGGGCGCUGACCAUCGGACAGAUGCAGGUGCGAGACUCAAGACGCCCUAUCGGCCCCCAACCCGCCUGCGCGCCCCUGCCCACAUAACAAGCAUCACGACUCUUGCCCGACCGUUGGUCAGCAUCUACCCCUCCCAUGUCCCGCCUGAUGAACAGCCCAGGCUACUUCUACACCCCAUCUCCUUCAUGCUUUCCCCUCUGCACUGCACUGCCACACGCAGGGCAAGUUCCAGUUGAUACUCAUGCCCACCGCCGGGCACGCCAUCCAAGAGGACGAGCCCGACCGCACCGCAGAGCACCUGCUGGGCUUCCUCAAGCGCUUCCGCGUGGGCGAGCCGCCGAUGGUCUUCCCGCGCGCGCCAACAGGCAUCAAGCCCGUGCUGCCGGUGGUUGCGGGGCCAGUGCUGGAGCACUGAGUAGGGCAACGGAGAAGGCACGGAGGAGGGGCGUGUGCGGGGGGAGGACGCAGGUUAUGCGACAGCUUGGGGCGGCGGUCCGCUCGGCAUCGAUGCGGCUGUCCGUUUCCCAUAGCGCGGACGUGGUGUUUGACACGGUAGGGAAGCUGGGGAGCGGCCGGUGCAGGCUAGCGCGUGACACUGUGUUAGUCACCUUCUUCCGGGUCGCUUGGGGCCGCGGCCAAGGCCGCGGCCCCAGCAGGGCCCAGCUGCCAAAGCGUUUCGGAGAAAGGGAUUCUGGAUGAGAUGUGGCAGGGGUUUUGCUACAGCAACAACUUCGGGG